GUUCGUCAAUGCUUUUCAUCGUAUCAAUUGAUUCUCCUUAUUAUGAGCAUAAAUGUGGGCAUCAUUAUUUUAAGACAUUAGUCCUUGACGUUCUUUUUUAUUUUUAUUUUGAAGUAUGUUAUGUCUUUAAUAGGCAUUAAUUCAUUCAUUUUUUUUUGGCAUGAACUCUUUCCGGAGUCCCAUUGAGCUCUUUUCCCUUGCAUUGCGCAAUGGGCCAUUGAGGCCUGCCAUUUAGAAGACUUUGGACGUCAACCUCAUUUACAUGGAUACGAGGAGUCGAGAGCAUAAAAAUGGGUUGAGGCCCCACAUCUGAAGCGGCUGGAAGACUUAGAUGUCUCAUUCUUUUACUUAUUUAGCCAUUUANNNN
Molecule: long non-coding RNA, 367 nt
Filed under: Capsicum annuum
Lineage: Eukaryota; Viridiplantae; Streptophyta; Magnoliopsida; Solanales; Solanaceae
Description: long non-coding RNA (CANN_LNC001263)
Source: RNAcentral